UGAAAUGCAACUAUGAGAUUGGAAGCAGAGGAGAAUUACUCAAAAGUAUUAAAAUUCACAAUAAAACAAAAUUAACGAAUAUUAUUCUAACACCCAGUGGAUGAGGAUAAGAUUAAAGCCCUUCUCUCCCUCUCUCUUUAAUCAUCAAAACUGAUUUUUAAUUAUUUUAUUUUAUUUUCUCUCUCUAACAACCUCCAUAUUUAUCAAAAGAAAUCUACAAAUGGGAUCUCCAUUUCUGUUUCUUCUGUAAUCUGUAAUCUGUAAUCCAUUUCUUGAAGAACCCCAUCUCUCAAAUUCUUUAUCUUUGCCUUCUUN
RNAcentral lists this long non-coding RNA (315 nucleotides) under Manihot esculenta (cassava). RNAcentral's name for it is "long non-coding RNA (MESC_LNC004800)". Lineage: Eukaryota; Viridiplantae; Streptophyta; Magnoliopsida; Malpighiales; Euphorbiaceae. The record is from RNAcentral.